Long non-coding RNA from Dalotia coriaria, 487 nucleotides. RefSeq lists it as uncharacterized. The transcript is spliced from 4 exons. NCBI's taxonomy places the organism in Eukaryota, Metazoa, Arthropoda, Insecta, Coleoptera, Staphylinidae. The record is from RefSeq and is a predicted model, not a curated record.
UCGGUUAUUUGGGCACCAUGUGGGGACUCAGGUCGUCGCAGUAUCCCCACCGGAUGAAGUUCUAGAGUUUUUAGACUAUUCAUUUAUAAGAAGACAGAAAAUGAUGAUGGGGGGAAUAAAGCGAUCGCGGGUUUAUUAAAGAAUUGAGUUUUUUAAUAAAUCGUGCGACUAUUUCGUUCAUCAAGAGAUAUAAUUUUGUCAUUGUGUCCUUUGCAACACAUCCUUGAUUUUAUUUUUAUGCUUUGUUUGUCAAUAUAGGUGUUUUUUUAGUGUUUUGUUUCAGGUUGAGCAGAAGAAAGAAAUUAAUUAAGAGAUUUGGUCACCUACUGUUGUGAACCUUCAAAACUCAUUGAAAUUUGGUACAGAAAAGAUUUGGCCUGCUACUGUUGGGAACCAUUGCAACCCAUUGAAAUUUGGAACAGAAAAGUUAUUGGACCUGCAAGUAUCAGUAUUAUUCCCUGCUGCUUCAGACUUUGUUACCGAUGAG